UAGCCCCACUGCUCCAGAAUAGCUCUUGGAAACGGGUGGUAAUGCUGGAUGCUCCAACUUGACGCAUGUCUUGUUGGGAAAGUGUUUAGUGGCAUGGGGUGGGGGUCGCGUCCUAUCAGCUUGUAGGCGGGGUAAUGGCCCACCUAGGCUUCGACGGGUAGCCGGCCUGAGAGGGCGGACGGCCACAUUGGGACUGAGAUACGGCCCAGACUCCUACGGGAGGCAGCAGCC
RNAcentral lists this ribosomal RNA (231 nucleotides) under uncultured Gardnerella sp. RNAcentral describes it as "partial 16S ribosomal RNA". It matches the Rfam family "Bacterial small subunit ribosomal RNA", at positions 127 to 355 of the family's 1533-position model. Lineage: Bacteria; Bacillati; Actinomycetota; Actinomycetes; Bifidobacteriales; Bifidobacteriaceae. The record is from RNAcentral.